RNAcentral lists this ribosomal RNA (433 nucleotides) under uncultured bacterium. Its description in RNAcentral is "partial 16S ribosomal RNA". It matches the Rfam family "Bacterial small subunit ribosomal RNA", at positions 29 to 507 of the family's 1533-position model. The record is from RNAcentral.
AACGAACGCUGGCGGCAUGCCUAACACAUGCAAGUCGAACGAGACCUUCGGGUCUAGUGGCGCACGGGUGCGUAACGCGUGGGAACCUGCCCUUAGGUUCGGAAUAACUCCCCGAAAGGGGUGCUAAUACCGGAUAAUGUCUUCGGACCAAAGAUUUAUCGCCUUUGGAUGGGCCCGCGUUGGUUUAGCUAGUUGGUAGGGUAAAAGCCUACCAAGGCGACGAUCCAUAGCUGGUCUGAGAGGAUGAUCAGCCACACUGGGACUGAGACACGGCCCAGACUCCUACGGGAGGCAGCAGUGGGGAAUAUUGGACAAUGGGCGAAAGCCUGAUCCAGCCAUGCCGCGUGAGUGAUGAAGGCCUUAGGGUUGUAAAGCUCUUUUACCCGGGAUGAUAAUGACAGUACCGGGAGAAUAAGCUCCGGCUAACUCCGUG